Molecule: ribosomal RNA, 594 nt
Filed under: Mycobacterium sp.
Lineage: Bacteria; Bacillati; Actinomycetota; Actinomycetes; Mycobacteriales; Mycobacteriaceae
Description: bacterial SSU rRNA
Rfam family: Bacterial small subunit ribosomal RNA
Source: RNAcentral
UUGUUUGGAGAGUUUGAUCCUGGCUCAGGACGAACGCUGGCGGCGUGCUUAACACAUGCAAGUCGAACGGUAAGGCCCCUUCGGGGGUACACGAGUGGCGAACGGGUGAGUAACACGUGGGUGAUCUGCCCUGCACUUCGGGAUAAGCCUGGGAAACUGGGUCUAAUACCGGAUAGGACCACGCUCUGCAUGGAGUGUGGUGGAAAGCUUUUGCGGUGUGGGAUGGGCCCGCGGCCUAUCAGCUUGUUGGUGGGGUGAUGGCCUACCAAGGCGACGACGGGUAGCCGGCCUGAGAGGGUGUCCGGCCACACUGGGACUGAGAUACGGCCCAGACUCCUACGGGAGGCAGCAGUGGGGAAUAUUGCACAAUGGGCGCAAGCCUGAUGCAGCGACGCCGCGUGGGGGAUGACGGCCUUCGGGUUGUAAACCUCUUUCAGUAGGGACGAAGCGCAAGUGACGGUACCUACAGAAGAAGGACCGGCCAACUACGUGCCAGCAGCCGCGGUAAUACGUAGGGUCCGAGCGUUGUCCGGAAUUACUGGGCGUAAAGAGCUCGUAGGUGGUUUGUCGCGUUGUCCGUGAAAACUCACAGCU